Non-coding RNA from Macaca mulatta (Rhesus monkey), 361 nucleotides. The record is from RefSeq and is a predicted model, not a curated record. NCBI's taxonomy places the organism in Eukaryota, Metazoa, Chordata, Mammalia, Primates, Cercopithecidae.
UAACCUCUUCCCCGGGGACAGACGUGGUCGCAUCUUUCCAGCUGAGGUCUCUCUCCCCUCUGGGGCUGAGCCAGAUGGUCUUUCCUUUCUCCAGGGCGAUGACUUCCACAAGGAUCCAGGUGCAGCAUUUGUCAUGUUGCAAUAUGUGCAAAAACAGAACUCUUCCCACCGGGUGUGAAAGUGGGAGCUAUGUUUGGAGGAGCCGUGGAGCAGAGCCAGCAGGAUGGAGCAUGCCAUGAGGGAGAAGAUGCUGGAAGCCAUGGGUCAGGGGCACUGGGUAUGGGAUCAAGAAGACAAAUGACUGGCUACUGCUAACUCUUGUGGCCCACAAUAAAGCAGGCUUGAUGGAUAUUAAAGCUGA